This 263-nucleotide unclassified non-coding RNA is filed under the name uncultured Plectosphaerellaceae. RNAcentral's name for it is "partial contains 5.8S ribosomal RNA, internal transcribed spacer 2, and large subunit ribosomal RNA". The record is from RNAcentral. Lineage: Eukaryota; Fungi; Ascomycota; Sordariomycetes; Glomerellales; Plectosphaerellaceae.
AACGCACAUUGCGCUCCCUGGUAUCCCGGGGAGCAUGCCUGUCCGAGCGUCGUUUCAACCCUCGAGCCCCCGUGGCCCGGCGUUGGGGCCCUACGUCUGUAGGCCCUGAAAAGCAGUGGCGGUCCCGCGUGGCCCUCUCCUUUGCGUAGUAGCAUUAGCCUCGCAUCGGGAGCCCGUGGGCGCUAGCCUCUAAACCCCCAUCAAGCCCGCUCCGGCGGCACAAGGUUGACCUCGGAUCAGGUAGGACUACCCGCUGAACUUAA